UUUCCUACGGGACGCAGCAGUGGGGAAUAUUGCACAAUGGGGGAUCCCUGAUGCAGCGACGCCGCGUGGGUGAAGGAGUAUUUCGGUAUGUAAAGCCCUAUCAGCAGGGAAGAAAAUGACGGUACCUGACUAAGAAGCCCCGGCUAACUACGUGCCAGCAGCCGCGGUAAUACGUAGGGGGCAAGCGUUAUCCGGAUUUACUGGGUGUAAAGGGAGCGUAGACGGCAUAGCAAGUCUGAUGUGAAAGAUCGGGGCUCAACCCCGGGCCUGCAUUGGAAACUGUUAAGCUGGAGGACAGGAGAGGG
This 305-nucleotide ribosomal RNA is filed under the name uncultured bacterium. RNAcentral's name for it is "bacterial SSU rRNA". It matches the Rfam family "Bacterial small subunit ribosomal RNA", at positions 335 to 658 of the family's 1533-position model. The record is from RNAcentral.